RNAcentral lists this transfer RNA (63 nucleotides) under Mazarredia convexa. Its description in RNAcentral is "tRNA-Tyr". Lineage: Eukaryota; Metazoa; Arthropoda; Insecta; Orthoptera; Tetrigidae. The record is from RNAcentral.
GAUUAGAUGUCUGAAUUAAGGUAAUUGAUUGUAAAUCAAUUUAUGGGUAUUACCCUCUAUUCA